ACAGUUUCAUGUGUAUGAUUACAUCAAAUCAAAGUCCAUGUAUAAAAUUGCACAUUAGAUUAAAGUUCAUGUGUAGUUUUGAGUUUUAUCCCUUAAAUUUUUUUUAAGUUUAUGAUCUAGCUCUCAUGGAUUGCUAGCCUUCCUUACAUAAGUUGAUGGUAUUGCAGAAUAACAAAAUAUCUGAUACUUCUGCUGCUGAAGCUAGAAGAGGAAAAGACAUCCAGGGAAUACCUUGGGAUCGGCUAAGCAUCACUAGGGAAAAGUAUAGGCAAACUAGGCUAGAGCAGUACAAGAACUAUGAGAAUAUCCCCCACUCUGGAGAAGUCUCCGGGAAGGUAAAAGCACUUAUAAGUUGCCUGCUUUCCUUCUAUAACAGUUCUUGGAUCUAACUAAAAUGUGCUAAAUUGAAAUUUCAAUUUGUAUGUAGGAUUGCAAGAUUACCAAGAAGGGUGCCUCAUACUAUGACUUCAGGCUAAAUUCAAGAUCUGUGAAAUCAACAAUACUUCAUUUUCAGGUUACCUGAAUGGGAGUUUUCAUCCAAGACCCGUGAUGUCAUAGACGGACUUAUCUUUUUCUUGUUAAAAUUCUUUUUCAUAUCUUGUUGUUUCCUUUUUUUACCGCUUUACUGUGAUGUGAUCAUUAUUUUGUUAGUGAUAGACAUAUCCAUUUGUGGUGAUGCAGUUGAGGAACUUGAUAUGGGCUACAUCAAAACAUGAUGUUUAUCUUAUGUCUCGUUUUUCUGUCAUGCAUUGGUCUUCAUUGACACACAAGAAGCGUGAAAUUCUUAAUGUUUCUGGGCAUGUGGCACCAUCCGAGGUCUGCUCUGGCAGUGAUCUGGCACUUUAUCUGACUUGUUGGUCUUUUUCCUUUUCUUUUCUUGUUAUCCUCAGAUUGAUUUGUGUGUUUUUCCCUUUUUAGAAACAUCCUGGAAGUCUGAUGGAAGGUUUUACGCAAACACAAGUCAGUACUCUUGCAGUAAAGGAUAAUCUGCUAGUUGCUGGAGGAUUCCAGGGUGAACUAAUAUGCAAGGUAAGGAAAGCAACUUUUUCCCCUUCAAUCCUUCAUUGACAAAAAAGUGGUCAGAAAGAGGGAUAAGCCUUUGUGCAGUGAUUGUGGAGCUGCUUUUCCAUGCAAUAUAGCUACUUUUCAGUUUUUGCAAGUCACUUGAAGCCUAACAUUUAUAUCUUAACUGUUAUAGAAAAUCUAUUGUUGGACAUAUCUGUCAUGCUGUAAGAUGGAUCUGAGUAAAAAGUUCUAUUAAGCAGUUUAGAGCUAAUGAUUUUCGCGCUCAUUCUGUUUCAGAACUUAUCUACUUGUUUGUCUUGUUUUGAACUACUUACUGCUUAAAACUUUGUGAAUGACAGGUUAAAAAAUGUAUUUGGAUAGUUUCUGUUUUCCCCUUAGCUCUUGGUUGCUGUUUUCCUGAUGCCAGUUAUUUAAGAAAUAAUUAGUUGAUUUUGAUCUGUAAUGUAGCAUUUAGAUCGACGGGGAAUAAGCUUCUGCUCCAGGACAACUUAUGAUGACAAUGCCAUUACUAAUGCUGUUGAGAUUUAUGUCACUCCAAGGUAUUUCUUGUUUCCUGAUCUGCUGGUGGCAUUUAUCUCAGUCAACCUGAACCUAAUUUGCUUUGUUUUUGAAUUACCAGUGGUGCAGUUCACUUUACGGCCUCAAAUAAUGACUGUGGAGUCAGAGAUUUUGAUAUGGAGAAAUUCCAGCUUUCUAAGCAUUUUCAUUUUCUUUGGCCUGUCAAUGUAAGUUCCAUAUAUUGGGAUUGCAUUGUUUCGGAUCUGUAAACAUACACUAAUGUUAUUCUAUGUACCUCUUCGAUUUGCAGUAUGCUAAUUAUUGAUUCUGUUAAUCCAAUAAAGGUACAUGGUGAGAAACACUAAAAGCCAUGCUUGUAAUGUUGCUUUUGCAGCAUACUUCUCUGAGCCCUGAUGGGAAACUUCUAAUAAUAGUUGGAGACAACCCUGAUAUUAUGUUGGUAGACUCUGAUACUGGGAAGGUAUUUGUCUGCCUGCUUUUGCAAUAUUGUUUACAUUUUUGGAGAUUGCAAAGCAUCGGUUGAUACUGAAAUUCAUUGCAGACUGUUAUGCCCUUGCAUGGACACUUGGACUUCUCAUUUGCGUCGGCAUGGCAUCCUGAUGGUGUCACUUUUGCAACCGGGAACCAAGACAAAACAUGCCGAAUUUGGGAUGUUCGAAACUUGUCAAGGUCAAUUGCUGUUCUCAAGGGGAACCUUGGAGCAAUACGGUCCAUUCGCUACACAUCUGAUGGUAAGUACAUGGCCAUGGCUGAGCCUGCUGACUUUGUGCAUGUGUAUGACGUGAAAAGUGGGUAUGAGAAUGAGCAAGAAAUCGAUUUCUUUGGUGAGAUAUCUGGCCUAUCCUUUAGUCCGGACACAGAGUCUCUCUUUAUUGGCGUAUGGGAUCGUACAUAUGGCAGCCUUCUUGAGUAUGGCCGGCGGAGGAACUACUUUUAUCUUCAUUCCCUAAUGUGAGUUGAUUGUGAUGCAGUCAAAACAAGCAUGUUGGUGUAGUUUAUGAUAUUUGAGGAACUUGUAUCAUUACAAGUUGUCGAAGAGGGUUUACUGUAGAUGUAAAUGUAAAAUGAAACGAAUUAUGUAACUUUAGGUGAUUGCUGUUGAAUUAGAAUUUAGUUUUCUGAUGAUAUAAGAUGUUAAUGGGAGAAAGGGUAGAAUUAGAUAGGGUUCUUAAGUUGAACAAAAGUGAAAGACGUGUAUGGUUUCCUUUGCUGGGGAGCUACACACUACAGGUUUUAAAUUUGAAUUUAUGAACGGUGGAUUUGACUCAACUAAGAUUCGUAUACUAGUAUACCCAAAUAUUAUAAAAAAUAGUGAUAUAAUUAGAGGAUGUAUUUUUGUUUACCUCAACCUGUUCAUGUGUCCAGCUGUUGUCAUGGGUUGAAGCUUUAGCUCGGCUAUUCAUACGGCCUUAGAUGCCGCACAAUAAGCUCAACCAACAAUGAUGAAAGGAUAUAGUCAAUACCCAAAGACACACAAGGUUAAAGGCACUUGAGAGAGAAGUUUAACAAGGAGCAAUGAUAAAAGAUAUAGUCGAUUGCAAAAACCACACGCAAGGUUAAAGGCACUUGAUAGAAGAUAACGCAAGGAUAACACUUAAAGGAUAAAGGCACUUAAGAUAGUCAAUGCCAAAAAACACACACAAGGUUAAAGGCACUUGAGAGAGAGAGAGAGAUAACACAAGGAAAACACUUGCGAGAUGAUAAAGGCACACAAGGAAGAUUGUAGGAAAAUGCUUCGGUAUUUGACCGUCAAUGUGCGAACGUCGAACCCGAGGGACAUAAAGUAAUCAAAAUGCUAUGAAUCAAAAUACAUGCAAGGGAAAAACUAUUAAGCUACUAAGGCAACUAUUUAUUACGACAAUGGUAAAGAAAUGAUUUCUUACAAUUCCUAAUAAGAGAAUAAAUGUGCAAAAAUCCAAUUAUCGAAAUUAACAAAUAGGCAACAAUAGUGAUUGGUUAAUUUCCAUGCUAACAGUGAAUUUGUGCAUAAGGGAUUUAAUCACUAAUUUUCUCAUUUAUUAACAUCUCACAUUAAGUAUAUUCAAUAGAUAUUGCUCGUUUGAGCAUGCUUCCAGUAGAACCAGUGAGUAUGGUUCGAUUGAGCAUACUUUCAAUAGAAUCAGUAUCUCAUUUUUUUUUUAAGAUCAUACUAUUAUACAAUAUGAUAUUUAAUAAAAUUAUAUCAACAUAGAAUAUAAAAAUUGUUAGAAGUAUAAAUAAUCGUACAAACUUACAGGAUUGAUUUGUAGUAACGGCUUAGAAUAUCUUAAUCAGUUAGGCUUGUCUCUUCGGAUUAUUAGCUUGACGCUUAUAGAAGAAUCGAAACCUUUUCAUCUUUCAAAGGAAAUCCUGGAGCUCUAGCGAGAUCAUUAAAGUUUCCAUGUGUUGGACCAAAAAAUCUUCUUUGGCUCCUAAAGAUGGUUUGAUUGAUAACAUAGGUUUAACUCAUGAGGAGCCUUUUUCCAAGGCUGAACCUUUCUUAACACCAAUGGUGUUGUUCAAGUAACGUCAGGAAGAGCAACUACUGGAGGAGUGGUACGGGAUGGUACUGGUGAUUGGGUGAUUGGUUAUAAUAGAUUCCUAGGGAAUUGUUCGAUUUUUGACACGGAACUUUGGGGCAUUUUGGAUGGCUUAAAACUCCUCCAACGUAGAGGUCAUAGCAGUGUAGUUAUUCACUUUGAUAGCUUGGAGGUAGUAAAAGCUAUUCAUGGCAAUAUUUCGAAGAUCUCAAACUCUACCCUGAUCAAAAGAAUACAUAGUAUUUUGUCCCAAGAAAGUCAAUGGAUUUAAGAUAUAUCCCAGGGAGGAGAAUCAAUGUGCUGACUAUCUUGCCAAAUUGGCCUUUGAAAGGAAAAAGAAUUUACAACUGGUUGAAACCCUCCAGAUGCAGUGUUAGAUUUCCUUAAUUCAAAUAAAGAAAGGAAUUUUUAUACCUCUCGAAUAUUUCAUGUAAUUUAAUUUUGUUAUGCUUCUUUUCACAAAAAAAAAAAUUGGGAUCGUUUAGUUUUAAGUGGUAAAAUGACUAAAAUACCCUUAAGGUUAAAUCCUUACAAAUAGUUUUAAAAUGGUUCACAAAUCGCUUCCGCAAUAAGAUUAGAAAGUUAUUAGUUAGAAUUGAGGUGUUAUAAGGUUGGAGUGUCUUUUGGGGUGGUUUUGUGCUAGAGAAUCACUUUGGUGGCUAAUGUAUCGGUUCAGAUUCGGGUCGGUCCGUUCCGGUCGGGUUUAGGGUGUCACAAAAUUCACAUCUCAUAAAAUUAUUUCAAAGGAAUAACUCGUCUUAUAUAUAUACUUACCAAAUAAUACAAUGUCUAAAAGCAACGUUUUUAAAUAGUUUAGAUUAUAGAAACACAAAUCGUAAAUUUCAAGCUAUUCCUCGCUGACCUUAUCUUUUUCUUUCUUUUUCAAGGAUUCCGAAACAACGUUAGCUAUGGAUUGAAAUAAUUAAAAUAAAUUAAUAAUACAAAACCCAAUUCACAUUCAAUUACAAAAUUUAUACUAUUUUUGCAUAAAGCUCGAUUUAGUCCCUAAAACUGAAACUAACUUAACUUCCACAUUUAACCUCAAAUUUUUAUACCAAUUUCACUCUAAUCUAAAUUUAGCUCCCUAUUUCUCAGUUCUACCCCAUAAUUUUGAAUUUUCAUAAUUUGGUCUCUAUUAUUUAAAAUCAACAAUUAAAAUCACAAUUGAUAAAAAAACAAUUAACUUCAUAAUUUAGUCCUUUUUCACUUCUAACCUAAAAAUCUAUCAAAUUAAUCCCUAAAGUUUUAACUACUCAAUAAUGGUAACAACUAAAAUCUUAAGCAAUACUGAAAAAUAGUACAUAGGUCAACUAACUUUCGAGUCGUUACAAUUAACUUAAAAUGAUUAAAGAUAUUAAAGAAAAGCAACAAUAAUUAAAUUGAAAUGAGGCGGGGAUGAAAACAUCCAACAUUCAUAGAUAUAGUAAUGUUUUCAAGAUUAUAAAUAUAUAAACGGAGUAGAGUGCGCUGACUAUGGAGCAAUGGUAGAUUUAACAAUAACUACCUGCUCGCUCCAUUGUCAUUCCUAAGCAUAGAUUUAUUACUUUGUAAAUAUAUAUAUAAAUGUAAUUUUGACGUUAAUUAGUAUGGUUUUCACUCAUGCUUCGUAUUGGAUUAAUUAUUAUUUUUUAAUUAAAUUAUAGAAUAGAAAAUUUAAAGGUUACAAUAAGCUCAAAGUUCUUGUACUCUUUGUAUAAUUAAAAUUUAAUCUUCAUACUUCUAUUUUUAUGAAUUUAAUCUCUUUACUUUUUGAAUUUAAAAAUUUAGGUCCAUUUGGAAUAUAUAAAACAUUUAGACUAUCUAAUGGAGGUAGUAAACUAUGUCAAAAUUAAAGUAUAGAAAUUAAAUUUCAAAUUUAAGUGAAAAUAUACUAUUUUUAUAUUAUCUCAAAAAUGUAAAAAUAAAGGGAUUAAAACUGAAAUUUAACCAUUAUCUUCUCGUGUAAGAAAAAUGGAAAAAGGAUAUGUGUCAUGUAAGAAGGCCCUAAGUCACUCCAUUUAUAUGAGUAUAGAUAUUUUGAUCUGCAGAUCGUCGGUAAUCACCUUCCAGUAAGAAUCUCUUACAUUUUAAAAGGUAAACUCUCUCGCUUUUUAUUUUUUAUUUUCUUGUUCGCUUUUGCAUUCUUCGAUCUCGAGUCAGUUUUCUUUAUGUGAUCAUUUCUGUUUAUCUCUUCAUUGGUGCGUACGGAUGUUAAUUACUUUCCUAUAACAUUUUUGGAGUUUGCCCCCUUUCUUUUUAAUUAAUUAUUUUUUUGUUUAUGGAUAACAUUUAUUAUUCUCAACUGAUUGUUCCCUGCUGUUGUUGCAUGAUUGUUAUGAUCCGGGACAUUAAAUUUUGGUUGGAAUUUCAAUUAGGGUUCAUACUAAUGAGCCCAGUUCUUGUUUGUGCCAUUUUUUCCUCUUUUUACCAGUAAUUGCGUGUUUCAUUCAUGGACACAUAAUUCUCAUGUAUAUAAAUUUGAUCAAGAGUUGGCUUUUUUGUUAGGCCCCAAGAUCCAGAAGGAUGAAUAAUUCCGCAAAUGGGAAUGUAAAAUAGAAAGAAAAAAAAAGCUCGAUCUUUUUAUGAGACAAAAGUUCCCAAAUCUGGAGACAAAGUUGUUUUACUCUUGCUUUUCGGAUAUUUCAUGCUUGAAUAAAAACGCAAAUCUCUUAUCUGUCUUAACAUGAUUAUGGCAUAAUUGAAUUGAAAAUGUUGCAAAAAUAACUUCAAAAUGUAGUUAAUUUCUCGAAAUUACUUAUGGCGGCAUUGACUUGUGCACUCUCAGUCUUUAAUUAGUUUAUCUAUAUGCUGAUGGAAGUAUUUCGUACAUGUUGAGAAUUGGCAUAAAACUGUUACUAUUAUAAAGGAUUUGUGAUUCUAUGGGCAUGUUAUUUUAGAUAUUUGUUUCCAUCUCCCUUUCUUUUUCCUUUAGCUGGAUUCCUAUGUAUAAGAGUAGGUUUGAUUUUCUUUGUAAUGUGACUAGGAUGAGGUUUUAGUAUCCUUUACUACCACUUGUACAAUAUCCUUAAAUUAGACUGUUGGAUAAUUUAAUUAUAAUUAAUGUUAAUCCUUUUUAUUGUCUUAAACAUAUCAUUGUUUAUAUUGUAACUUGUAUCAGUUGUUGCGGCAGUACAUGCCAUGUUUCUUUUCCCUAUGAUUUUAAAUGUCGUCAUCUGAUCAAUUUUGAUCAUCUCUUCACCAGUGUACGUAGCACAGAGUUUACUCCUUAGAAAUCAAUGGGAAGAGUAUCUUCCAAUUAAAUUUUGUGUGAUUCUCUAUGGGUAUUUACUUUAUAAUUGUUGGGUUACUAUAGUGCUUGAAGCUACAUUGGUACAGGUGUAGUUUUGUCUGGUGGAAUAUGUCCUAUUACCAAGAAGAUGAUGCUGAAUACAUGGCAGAGGAGUAUGACAUGGAGGACAUAGAUGACAUGGAUGAAGAGUUCUGCGGCAGAGAUAUGUCUGGCUCGGAGUCUGAUGUUGAUGAAUAUGAUUACUCGGUUUGUUUGAUGAUUUACAAGAUGCAAAUUGGACUUAAAUUAAUUCAUUCAUAACUUAGGCAAACGUAAAAAAGUGUUUUUUAUUUUUUAAAAUUGGGAUAAAUCUCAAAACUAUACAUCAACUUUGAACAAAUGUGCAAUGUUAAUACAUAAAAUUUGAUUUUGUGCAAUUUUAUACUUGAAAUUUUCAUUUGAUUCAAUUUUUACAAAUCAUUAACAUAAUUAUAAAUAAAGAGUUACCUGACAAUUAUAUAUUGCAUAUAUAAAUAAUUAUUUUUAUCUAAUAAAUAAAUAAAAUUGAUAUAAUUUUUUUUUAAAAUGUGUACAGUUGAAUCAAAAUCAAAGUUUUAAUUAUACAUUUCAACUUCAAUCAAAGUUUCAUGUGUAUGAUUGUAUCAAAUCAAAGUUCAUGUAUCAAAUUUGCACAUUAGGUUGAAGUUAAUGUGUAGUUUUUGAGAUUUAUCCAUUAAUUUUUUUUUUAAAGUUUCUGUUCUAGUUCUCAUGGAUUGCUAGCCAGCCUAACAUAAGUUGACGGUAUUGCAGAAUAAUAAAAUAUCUGAUACUUCUGCUGCUGAAGCUAGAAGAGGAAAAGACAUCCAGGGAAUACCUUGGGAUCAGCUAAGCAUCACUAGGGAAAAAUACAGGCAAACUAGGCU
This 8195-nucleotide long non-coding RNA is filed under the name Gossypium raimondii (Peruvian cotton). RNAcentral's name for it is "long non-coding RNA (GRAI_LNC007885)". Lineage: Eukaryota; Viridiplantae; Streptophyta; Magnoliopsida; Malvales; Malvaceae. The record is from RNAcentral.